UACGGAGGGUGCAAGCGUUAUCCGGAUUCACUGGGUUUAAAGGGUGCGUAGGUGGAGAGGUAAGUCAGUGGUGAAAUCUCCGGGCUUAACCCGGAAACUGCCAUUGAUACUAUCUUUCUUGAAUAUCGUGGAGGUGAGCGGAAUAUGUCAUGUAGCGGUGAAAUGCUUAGAUAUGACAUAGAACACCAAUUGCGAAGGCAGCUGGCUACACGGUAAUUGACACUGAGGCACGAAAGCGUGGGGAGCAAACAGG
Molecule: ribosomal RNA, 253 nt
Filed under: uncultured bacterium
Lineage: Bacteria
Description: partial 16S ribosomal RNA
Rfam family: Bacterial small subunit ribosomal RNA
Source: RNAcentral